AGCGCCAUUCAGGUUGGUAUAGCUGGAAUGCAGUGCCUCGGCGUUCUUGUCCAUGCAUACAUAUCCUUUGCCGUGAGACCCAUGGUUCUCCCCCAUCAGGUAUCCCUGGUACUCCUUGGUCCAUCCGUUGUAGCACGAUGUGCGGCCAGGUAUCAUCAAGGUUGUCUUUCCGUGAGCAAGACAAACAGAACACGGUACGUCAUACUCGUAAGGAUCGCCAAAAGCUGGUGGAUUUUGUUUUGCUUCGU
Long non-coding RNA from Dreissena polymorpha, 248 nucleotides. RefSeq lists it as uncharacterized. NCBI's taxonomy places the organism in Eukaryota, Metazoa, Mollusca, Bivalvia, Myida, Dreissenidae. The transcript has 3 exons. The record is from RefSeq and is a predicted model, not a curated record.